RNAcentral lists this ribosomal RNA (202 nucleotides) under uncultured Glomus. RNAcentral describes it as "partial 18S ribosomal RNA". It matches the Rfam family "Eukaryotic small subunit ribosomal RNA", at positions 569 to 766 of the family's 1831-position model. Lineage: Eukaryota; Fungi; Glomeromycota; Glomeromycetes; Glomerales; Glomeraceae. The record is from RNAcentral.
AGCAGCCGCGGUAAUUCCAGCUCCAGUAGCGUAUAUUAACGUUGCUGCAGUUAAAAAGCUCGUAGUUGGAUUUCUGGUUUGUCACACUAGCCCAGGGCUUCGGUUUUGAGUGUUGGUGUGUACUCUCCAUCCUUCUAGAGAGCUGUGCGUACCGUUAACUCGGCCGCGCGCAUGCGAUCUAGAUCUUUUACUUUGAAAAAAU